Molecule: signal recognition particle RNA, 148 nt
Filed under: Pan paniscus (pygmy chimpanzee)
Lineage: Eukaryota; Metazoa; Chordata; Mammalia; Primates; Hominidae
Also listed under: 1 other name
Description: Metazoan signal recognition particle RNA
Rfam family: Metazoan signal recognition particle RNA
About the family: The signal recognition particle (SRP) is a universally conserved ribonucleoprotein. It is involved in the co-translational targeting of proteins to membranes.
Source: Rfam by way of RNAcentral
GCCAGGCGUGGUGGCGCACACCUGUAAUCCCAGCUACUCAGGAGGCUGAGGCAGGAGAAUCACUUGAAUCCAGGAGGCAGAGGUUGUAGUGAGCCGAGAUUGUGCCACUGCACUCCUGCCUGGGCAACAGAGUGAGACUCUGUCUCAA